This 514-nucleotide ribosomal RNA is filed under the name uncultured bacterium. RNAcentral's name for it is "partial 16S ribosomal RNA". It matches the Rfam family "Bacterial small subunit ribosomal RNA", at positions 28 to 523 of the family's 1533-position model. The record is from RNAcentral.
GAUGAACGCUGGCGGCGUGCCUAAUACAUGCAAGUCGAGCGAACAGAUGAGAAGCUUGCUUCUCUGAUGUUAGCGGCGGACGGGUGAGUAACACGUGGGUGACCUACCUAUAAGACUGGGAUAACUCCGGGAAACCGGGGCUAAUACCGGAUAAUAUUUUGAACCGCAUGGUUCAAUAGUGAAAGACGGUUUCGGCUGUCACUUAUAGAUGGACCCGCGCCGUAUUAGCUAGUUGGUAAGGUAACGGCUUACCAAGGCGACGAUACGUAGCCGAACUGCGAGGGUGAUCGGCCACACUGGAACUGAGACACGGUCCAGACUCCUACGGGAGGCAGCAGUAGGGAAUCUUCCGCAAUGGGCGAAAGCCUGACGGAGCAACGCCGCGUGAGUGAUGAAGGUCUUCGGAUCGUAAAACUCUGUUGUUAGGGAAGAACAAAUUUGUUAGUAACUGAACAAGUCUUGACGGUACCUAACCAGAAAGCCACGGCUAACUACGUGCCAGCCGCCGCAGUAA